UGUGCGGGGAGAGACCCAGACGUGGGGU
RNAcentral lists this small RNA (28 nucleotides) under Bombyx mori (domestic silkworm). RNAcentral describes it as "ovarian small RNA-35904". The record is from RNAcentral. Lineage: Eukaryota; Metazoa; Arthropoda; Insecta; Lepidoptera; Bombycidae.